RNAcentral lists this ribosomal RNA (538 nucleotides) under Nocardiopsis alba. RNAcentral describes it as "bacterial SSU rRNA". It matches the Rfam family "Bacterial small subunit ribosomal RNA", at positions 92 to 630 of the family's 1533-position model. Lineage: Bacteria; Bacillati; Actinomycetota; Actinomycetes; Streptosporangiales; Nocardiopsidaceae. The record is from RNAcentral.
CGAGCGGCGAACGGGUGAGUAACACGUGAGCAACCUGCCCCUGACUCUGGGAUAAGCGGUGGAAACGCCGUCUAAUACCGGAUACGACCUUCCGCCUCAUGGUGGAGGGUGGAAAGUUUUUUCGGUCAGGGAUGGGCUCGCGGCCUAUCAGCUUGUUGGUGGGGUAACGGCCUACCAAGGCGAUUACGGGUAGCCGGCCUGAGAGGGCGACCGGCCACACUGGGACUGAGACACGGCCCAGACUCCUGCGGGAGGCAGCAGUGGGGAAUAUUGCGCAAUGGGCGAAAGCCUGACGCAGCGACGCCGCGUGGGGGAUGACGGCCUUCGGGUUGUAAACCUCUUUUACCACCAACGCAGGCUCCGGGUUCUCUCGGGGUUGACGGUAGGUGGGGAAUAAGGACCGGCUAACUACGUGCCAGCAGCCGCGGUAAUACGUAGGGUCCGAGCGUUGUCCGGAAUUAUUGGGCGUAAAGAGCUCGUAGGCGGCGUGUCGCGUCUGCUGUGAAAGACCGGGGCUUAACUCCGGUUCUGCAGUGGA